CCCCUAGAUGAUCUGGGCCGCACGCGCGCUACAAUGGCGAAUGGAGCGAGUGUUUCCAUUGAAAGAGUGGGAGGAAACAGGAGGAUUCGCCGUGACUGGGAUAGAAUAUUGGAAUUGUUAUUCUUGAACGAGGAAUGCCUAGUAAAUGCAAUUCAUAAAAUUGCAUUGAAUACGUCAAUGCCCUUUGUACACACCGCCCAUCGCUCCUACCGAUUGAAUGAUCCGAUGAAUUUUUUAGAUUUCUCUAAAGGUUUUUAGAGGGAAAAGAAAAAUAAAUCUUGUCAUUUAGAGGAAGGAGAAGAUGCAACA
RNAcentral lists this ribosomal RNA (309 nucleotides) under uncultured eukaryote. RNAcentral describes it as "partial 18S ribosomal RNA". It matches the Rfam family "Eukaryotic small subunit ribosomal RNA", at positions 1470 to 1796 of the family's 1831-position model. The record is from RNAcentral.